This 321-nucleotide unclassified non-coding RNA is filed under the name fungal sp. RNAcentral's name for it is "partial internal transcribed spacer region". The stretch from base 1 to 46 matches the Rfam family "Eukaryotic small subunit ribosomal RNA", at positions 1786 to 1831 of the family's 1831-position model. Lineage: Eukaryota; Fungi. The record is from RNAcentral.
AAGUCGUAACAAGGUUUCCGUAGGUGAACCUGCGGAAGGAUCAUUACCAAAAAAUCCAAUACCAACCCCUUUGUGAAUUCUUUGAACGUAUUUCGGGAGAAGUGUUUCUUUUCUUUUUCUUUUUUCUUUUCCCCCUUUUUUUGGGGGGGGAAAAAAAAAAUUAAUUUAAUUUUAACCUCCUUCUCCCAAUUUUAUUAAACUUUAAACACCUUCAUGUGAGGGAUUUAAUUCCUCAUCAUGGGUUUAAUUUUUUAAUUUUUUUUAAUAAUAACAAAAAAUUUAAAAGUAUAACAACUUUUAACGGUGGAUCUCUUGGCUCGU